AUGUCUGGGAAACUGCCUGAUGGAGGGGGAUAACUACUGGAAACGGUAGCUAAUACCGCAUAACGUCGCAAGACCAAAGAGGGGGACCUUCGGGCCUCUUGCCAUCAGAUGUGCCCAGAUGGGAUUAGCUAGUAGGUGGGGUAACGGCUCACCUAGGCGACGAUCCCUAGCUGGUCUGAGAGGAUGACCAGCCACACUGGAACUGAGACACGGUCCAGACUCCUACGGGAGGCAGCAGUGGGGAAUAUUGCACAAUGGG
RNAcentral lists this ribosomal RNA (259 nucleotides) under Enterobacter roggenkampii. Its description in RNAcentral is "partial 16S ribosomal RNA". It matches the Rfam family "Bacterial small subunit ribosomal RNA", at positions 113 to 375 of the family's 1533-position model. The record is from RNAcentral. Lineage: Bacteria; Pseudomonadati; Pseudomonadota; Gammaproteobacteria; Enterobacterales; Enterobacteriaceae.